CUAAUUUUACAUGAAAUACAAUAUUAUUUCCGUAAAUUACGUACGAUAAGGUAACAAAAUAGGUAAUAAUACAGCUCGUAAUAAAUUGUGUUAAUUGGCGCCUUAGAAUAAGUAGUAGCUAUACGUACUUAUAAACUAAUACGCUAUAUCCUUUUAAUCACACUAAUAUUGUAAAUGAUGUUUGUCGGUCAAUCACGUUGAAACUACUGUAGGAUUACGUUUUAUCUACCUACGGAUUUAGAUGAUAUUUGGUAUCUAUAUAGACCUGUCUGUCACACAAGUCAGCUCAUACCCUGGUAUGAAAAAAAGUUCCGUGAAUUUCUCACAAUAAAACAUAAAAUAUUACUAUAACCACAGAUAAUAUAAUAUAGCUAUAACAUAAAAAAUACAAACAUAACCCCAUAAUAACGUCAUCUUCAUCAAAAGGCCAUAAUUGUAUACUGCAGGGGCACAGAAACGCUCGUGUAUGGUCGACCAAGUUGAAGUUAAGUUUUAUUUGAAAUCGAGGGGCUCAGUUAAAUAACAAAAACAAAAAAUCAAUAUGUAAAAUUAUUUUAAUAUUGCAUUACAAUAAAUUGUCACAACAAGGAAUUGCCACGAGCCUACCGUACACAUAUACGUCGAUCCACACCAUAGCGCUAAUUUACAAUGUUCCCUUUACCCUUCUUUAAACAAGUAUCUACAAUUACGUAUAAAAUAUAUAUUACACCAAACCUCAAAUAAUGCUUUUUAUUUUUUUUUGUCAACGAGCGGUUAGCAUUAAUCAAUAGUCUCCUUCCAAUCCAUGAUAGAUACCUUUAUCUUAGUCGCAAGGAAUCCAUUGCUGGACCCUAUCACCAGCGGCUAAUAUACACGCCGUAUUAAGGCUAAAUUAUAGUAGAACUGUAAUAUUGUGAUAUUAUAUCGUAACUUUUUUGGUCAGUAUUUCUAAAAAUUACAAUUAGGACUAUGGUGUGAAUUCAAGUCUUAUUUUACUUAAUAUUAAAAACCUAUGCAUGAUAUUAACUAGUACACUUAACGUUACAUCACAUGUAGAAUGAGAUAUUUUUCAUAAUAAGUAACAAUGGCCGAAGAUAUUUCGUCACUUACUCCGUUCCCAACAAGUAAAAUUAUACCUCAUCAUACAGUUUGUUUUACUAUAGUAUUACAACGAUUAAGCGUCUUAUUAUGCAUCUAUUACCUAUCUAUAUUAUGACGCACUUUAAAUUAGAUAUGACGCAAUUAAAAGACACAGGUUGGAGAUCAGAAAAACCAGCCUUUUAUUACCGUAAGCAAUAGUUAUGCGUAUACAAAGUUUUCUUAAAAAUAUUGCCAGUAUAAAAGUAAGCAAAAGUAAAAAAUAGCUACCAAUCGUAUUAUCUGCGUGGCAGUGGUAUAAGCACCAGAUAUGUCUGGGUCAUCCAUCAAAUUGAUUUAAUAGUAACAACUGUACAUAAAUAUUAUGAUUAUAAAUCUCAAAUAUUUCCAAAUCCUAUAAAUGCAUUUAAAAAAUUUUCAGGAACAGCUUUACAAUACCUUACUUCAUCAUUGAAAUAUUGCUCAAGCUUCAUUAACUUACUUAUUGUAAUUAUGAUAACAGCUGUUCUAUCCACUGGAAUGAAUAAGUAUUUCACCACUUCGCUCUAUAAAUACCUACGAAAAAUGGACACUUAUCGGCUGAUUAAAAGUUUUUAAAAAGUUUUCGUAUGCUAGAUAUAAUAUAUAAAUAUAACAAAUAUUUCAUUGUUUUUAAUUUAACAACGUGUACAUUUUCACUUAAGCAACGUAAUAAAUUAUCAUUAUACAUCGUGGACAUUGCCAAAUUUAGAAGAUUUUUUUUUUGGUUAAUAUUCUAUCAGGGAUUUAAGCUAUUUGCUAACAUUGAGGAAAUCUUCUUUUGGCUGAAUUAGUGAGAUAAGAUAAAUUAUUUGCUGUCUCGACAACUUGACGCACACAAUUUUAUAGGGUUUUCAUUUUAAAAAACCUGCCAACAGUUGUUGACGUAAGAGAAACAAGUCAAGGAUCAAAGGUGCAGAACUAUUCUCUUAAAACCUUGAUUUUUAUUUCGAAAUUAAUUCUUUUGAGCCUUACGUUUUUAUGUAUUGUAUUGCGAAAACAGUUUGUACAGUGACCUUUAAUCUUGUACUUUUCAUUUAAUUCAUCAAAAUCAGAACGAAAGCCAUUUAACAUAAGGACAACAUUAAAUUACAUUCCUAAUGCAAACAUU
This is a long non-coding RNA of Zerene cesonia (dogface butterfly), 2206 nucleotides long. RefSeq lists it as uncharacterized. The transcript has 2 exons. NCBI's taxonomy places the organism in Eukaryota, Metazoa, Arthropoda, Insecta, Lepidoptera, Pieridae. The record is from RefSeq and is a predicted model, not a curated record.